UUUUUGUUUGAUUGAACUUGUUUGUUGUUGAUAUUAUACUACACGUUCAUAGUUCAUGCUUUAUAAAAUACCAAAAACUGAAAUUUGUUGUUUUUAUACUUUUCAAGUCUCAUUGAGUUGUAAAAAAGAUCACAAUUAAUUACUUGGUAUGAUCACCAUCAUUUGCCAAUGGCCCCUAUCAUGAAUCCCAAAUAGUAAGUCGAUUAAUUAGAUCUUCAUAAAAUGUACAAUGAGUAACACA
RNAcentral lists this long non-coding RNA (241 nucleotides) under Vigna radiata. RNAcentral describes it as "long non-coding RNA (VRAD_LNC002958)". The record is from RNAcentral. Lineage: Eukaryota; Viridiplantae; Streptophyta; Magnoliopsida; Fabales; Fabaceae.